GGCACGGUGGCGCAGUGGUUAGCACACUUCACAGCAAGAAGGUUGUGGGUUCGAAUCCGGCCUGGUGCCU
Non-coding RNA from Gymnothorax javanicus (giant moray), 70 nucleotides. Lineage: Eukaryota; Metazoa; Chordata; Actinopteri; Anguilliformes; Muraenidae. The record is from the annotation of a GenBank genome assembly.